GUCUUCAAUAAAAUACUAGCCUAACAAUUACAGCUUCAAGAAAACACUGUUACCAGCAGCAGCUUCUCUCAUCUGCAGGUGUCCAUACUGAAUCCAUAACCUUUGUGGUUUGGUCUGGGGAGGAUUUCCCAUAUGCAGAUGUUUGAUUCAAAUGUGGUGAGUGGUUUAAAUUGGGUCUCUUGAGGGAU
Molecule: small nucleolar RNA, 188 nt
Organism: Panicum virgatum (switchgrass)
Lineage: Eukaryota; Viridiplantae; Streptophyta; Magnoliopsida; Poales; Poaceae
Product: small nucleolar RNA Z112
Exons: 1
Source: RefSeq, a predicted model, not a curated record